Molecule: ribosomal RNA, 440 nt
Filed under: uncultured bacterium
Lineage: Bacteria
Description: partial 16S ribosomal RNA
Rfam family: Bacterial small subunit ribosomal RNA
Source: RNAcentral
CCUACGGGAGGCAGCAGUGGGGAAUAUUGCACAAUGGGGGAAACCCUGAUGCAGCGACGCCGCGUGAGUGAAGAAGUACUUCGUUAUGUUAAGCUCUAUCAGCAGGGAAGAAAAUGACGGUACCUGAGUACGAAGCUCCGGCUACCUACGUGCCAGCAGCCGCGGUAAUACGUAGGGGCCACGCGUUUACCGGAUUUAUUGGGUGUAAAGGGCGCGUAGACGGGAGUGCAAGUCUGGUGUGAAAGGCGGGGGCUCAACCCUCGGACUGCACUUGAAACUGGACGGCUGGAGUGCAGGAGCGGUAAGUGGAAUUCGUGGUGUAGCGGUGAAAUGCGUAGAUAUUAGGAAGAACACCGAUGGCGAAGGCAGCUUACUGGACUGUAACUGACGUUGAGGCUCGAAAGCGUGGGGAGCAAACAGGAUUAGAUACCCGGGUAGUC